Molecule: ribosomal RNA, 467 nt
Filed under: uncultured bacterium
Lineage: Bacteria
Description: partial 16S ribosomal RNA
Rfam family: Bacterial small subunit ribosomal RNA
Source: RNAcentral
GAUGAACGCUGGCGGCGCGCCUAACACAUGCAAGUCGAACGAUUAAAGCAUCUUCGGGUGCGUAUAAAGUGGCGAACGGCUGAGUAACUCGUGGGUACCUUGCAACUCUCAUUGUGGUAGCCACGGGAAACCGUGGAUAAUACCGAAUACUUCGGGCCUCCUGCAUGGAAGAGCCGAGAAUGUUCCGGCGGUGUGGGAUGGGCUCGCGGCCUGUUGGCUUGUUGGUGGAGUAGUGGCCUAGCACGCCAAAGAUGGGUAGCUGGGUUGAGAGACGGAACAGGCAGAAUGCGACUGAGACACGGCCCAGACGCCUACGUUAGGCAGCAGUGGGGAGUCUGGCACAGUGGGCGAAAGCCUGAUGCGGCGGCGCCCCGUUUGGGAAGAAGGCCUGCGGGGUAUGAACCGCUUUCAGCAGAGACGAGGCUAAAGUGACGGUACCUAAAGAAGAAGCCCCGGCUAACUUCGUG